AUUGAACGCUGGCGGCAUGCCUUACACAUGCAAGUCGAACGGCAGCACGGGUGCUUGCCCCUGGUGGCGAGUGGCGAACGGGUGAGUAAUACAUCGGAACAUGUCCUGUAGUGGGGGAUAGCCCGGCGAAAGCCGGAUUAAUACCGCAUACGAUCUACGGAUGACAGCGGGGGACCUUCGGGCCUCGCGCUUUAGGGUUGGCCGAUGGCUGAUUAGCUCGUUGGUGGGGUAAAGGCCUACCAAGGCGACGAUCAGUAGCUGGUCCGUGAGGGCGACCAGCCACACUGAGACUGAAACACGGCCCAGACUCCUACGGGAGGCAGAGGUGGGGAAUUUUGGAAAAUGGGGGAAAGCCUGAUCCAGCAAUGCCGCGUGUGUGAAGAAGGCCUUCGGGUUGUAAAGCACUUUUGUCCGGAAAGAAAUCUUUGGCCGUAAUACGGUCGGGGGAGGACGGUACCGGUAGAAUAGGCACGGCCUAACAAGGU
This 485-nucleotide ribosomal RNA is filed under the name uncultured bacterium. RNAcentral describes it as "partial 16S ribosomal RNA". It matches the Rfam family "Bacterial small subunit ribosomal RNA", at positions 30 to 506 of the family's 1533-position model. The record is from RNAcentral.